Molecule: ribosomal RNA, 1320 nt
Filed under: Palombiella stephensoni
Lineage: Eukaryota; Metazoa; Platyhelminthes; Tricladida; Bdellouridae
Description: eukaryotic LSU rRNA
Rfam family: Eukaryotic large subunit ribosomal RNA
Source: RNAcentral
AGCAAACAAGUACCGUGAGGGAAAGUUGAAAAGAACUUUGAAGAGAGAGUUAAAUAGCACGUGAAAUCGCUUAGAGGUAAACGAGUAGAGCCGAAGGUUGGUGUAUGGAAUUCAGCUAUUGAGGUGUUGCCSUCUGUGGUGUAUAUCUGCAAAGUUUAUGCCAUGGGAAGGUGGCAUUUUGGUGGUGCACUUUCUGUAUACCAAAUAUGCGACUGGUAUGAGAUUCUUCUGUCGUAGAGAUGAAGUUAUCCUUUUCUUCGGAUUAGGUCAUAUAGCUUUCUACAUGGUUGGAUUUUGCACCAGUGACAGUGAUCAAUCAACGUUGGCGUGAUGGGCAUGUUGGUGGCAUUUAUGUAAGCUCAUUAGAGAUUAUGUGGGUGUUAUUGAUGUGUUUGUUGCCUAACAGAUUGGUGAAAAGUCAGCAUUGUAUAUGUAGGCAGUCUACUUGUCCCGUCUUGAAACACGGACCAAGGAGUUUUUUAUACUUGCAAGUCAAAGGGUCCUACGAAACCCCACGGCGUAAUGAAAGUGAAAGUCUUCGGACUUAAGAUGCGACCUCCGUGAUAACCUCAUAGAGUGCAGCAUCGCCAUGUUCAAAGGUGUUCGCAUCUGAGCAUAGGUUGAGCAAGUAUGAAGAGACCCGAAAGAUGGUGAACUUUGGUUGUGCAGGUUGAAGCCAGAGGAAACUCUGGUGGAGGACCGAAGCAGUUCUGACGUGCAAAUCGAUUGUCAGACAUGACCAAAGGGGCGAAAGACUAAUCGAACCAUCUAGUAGCUGGUUCCCUCCGAAGUUUCCCUCAGGAUAGCUGGCGCUGAUAUAAUAGUUAUAUCCGGUAAAGCGAAUGAUUAGAAGUAUCGGAAACGAAAUGUUGUCGACUUAUUCUCAAACUUUAAAUGGGUAUGAAGUACUGCUUACUUCAUUGAAGUAGUACGGCUAAUAACAGUGCUUAGUGGGCCAUUUUUGGUAAGCAGAACUGGCGAUGUGGGAUGAACCAAACAUCUAGUUAAGGUGCCUAAUUCAUGCUCAUGAGACACCACAAAAGGUGUUGGUUGAUAAAGACAGCAGGACGGUGGACAUGGAAGUCGUCAUCCGCUAAGGAGUGUGUAACAACUCACCUGCCGAAUCAACCAGCCCUGAAAAUGGAUGGCGCUGUAGCAUGGAACCUAUACUAGAUCGGCACGGUAAGCAAAUUGCGAGAACGCCGUGUCGUGUAGGAGGGCGCCGUGAUAGCACAGAAGCUACUGGCGUGAGCCGGGGUGGAGCUGUCACGGGUGCAGAUCUUGGUAGUAGUAGCAAUUAUUCAAGUGAGAUCCUUGAAG